This 460-nucleotide ribosomal RNA is filed under the name uncultured bacterium. Its description in RNAcentral is "partial 16S ribosomal RNA". It matches the Rfam family "Bacterial small subunit ribosomal RNA", at positions 338 to 795 of the family's 1533-position model. The record is from RNAcentral.
CCUACGGGAGGCAGCAGUGAGGAAUAUUGGUCAAUGGACGAGAGUCUGAACCAGCCAAGUAGCGUGAAGGAUGACUGCCCUAUGGGUUGUAAACUUCUUUUAUAUGGGAAUAAAAUGUUCCACGUGUGGGAUUUUGUAUGUACCAUAUGAAUAAGGAUCGGCUAACUCCGUGCCAGCAGCCGCGGUAAUACGGAGGAUCCGAGCGUUAUCCGGAUUUAUUGGGUUUAAAGGGAGCGUAGGUGGAUUGUUAAGUCAGUUGUGAAAGUUUGCGGCUCAACCGUAAAAUUGCAGUUGAAACUGGCAGUCUUGAGUACAGUAGAGGUGGGCGGAAUUCGUGGUGGAGCGGUGAAAUGCUUAGAUAUCACGAAGAACUCCGAUUGCGAAGGCAGUUCACUGGACUGCAACUGACACUGAGGCUCGAAAGUGUGGGUAUCAAACAGGAUUAGAUAUCCGGGUAGUC